UUUAGGUUGGAUGCCCAGCGAGGUUUGUGAAAUUUCCAGUGUAGAAACUCAUAAUGCAUGGACAGAAAGGCUAGUAAGAAAAAGGUUUAUAUAAAGGAUAUGGCCGGCUUCUAAGUCUCAUACCAUAGAAAUCAAUCUUAAUCUAACUCAUCAAAAUAUAAGUUUGCAAUCUAAAGGUUUCAUCAUGAAAGAUAUGCAUGUAUAUAGGCUCUGGUAGGUAGAACUUUGCAAGAGAUUCACAAAUGUAGAUAUCAUAUGAAUUAAAUUUAAACAAAAAUAAAUCAAGUUAUCAGGUCAUCUGUAAACUUAAAUCUAAGAGAAACAUAGAGCUUGUGGGUCUAAAAUUUAAUCAUUUAACCUCCACAAUUGUGCUUAGCAUGGAAGAACUUCUGGCGACCAUGAUCCUUGUGUUCCAUAUAGCAUUUUUAUCCUCA
This 434-nucleotide long non-coding RNA is filed under the name Setaria viridis. RNAcentral's name for it is "long non-coding RNA (SVIR_LNC010350)". The record is from RNAcentral. Lineage: Eukaryota; Viridiplantae; Streptophyta; Magnoliopsida; Poales; Poaceae.